UACGGAGGGUGCAAGCGUUGCUCGGAAUCACUGGGCGUAAAGAGCGUGUAGGCGGUUUCGUAUUUCCGGCGUGAAAGGCCCGGGCUCACCCCGGGAAGUGCGCUGGAAACUGCGAGACUAGAGUCCCGGAGAGGAAGGUGGAAUUCCUGGUGUAGCGGUGAAAUGCGUAGAUAUUUGGAAGAACACCGGUGGCUAAGGCGGCCUUCUGGACGGUGACUGACGCUGAGAAGCGAAAGCGUGGGGAGCAAACAGG
This 253-nucleotide ribosomal RNA is filed under the name uncultured bacterium. Its description in RNAcentral is "partial 16S ribosomal RNA". It matches the Rfam family "Bacterial small subunit ribosomal RNA", at positions 524 to 776 of the family's 1533-position model. The record is from RNAcentral.